GAGCUCAUGGCACAGUUUGGUGGGGCUUGUUGUUUGUUUGUUUGUUUGAUUGAUUGAUUGAAUGAUUUUAUUUAUAUUUGUUUUUAAUUUUGUAUAUAUAUAUAUAUAUAUAUUUGUUUCUCUCUUUCUCUAUGUACAAGGCUGUGGUGGCCUGGCUGGAUCAUGGGCAGGCUGGAGCCAUGUCCCUUUGUACAGAGAGAGCUGCAUGUCACUUGCCUCUAUUGUUCCAUCAGUUUAGACAUCUGGUGGUACUGGCUCCCUUGCCCUCCCUGCAUUUGAACCCACAAAGCUUAUUUUCACUGUUCCUGGUAUUGUUCUCAAAUAAAUAAAUAAAUAAAUAAAACACACACACACAUAAACAAGCAAAGAAAAGCAUGGUAUCUGGUACAACUUAGACCAAGAGAUGUUGUAGUUGAAAGACACUGCUGGCAGUACCUCAUGCCUCACUCUCCUCUCUCUCUCACUCUCUCAACCAAAAAAAGAAAACUUACUCUGCUACUACAGACCCAUGUGAUUUUUCAAAAAAAGAAAACUAAAAAAUAAUACAAGAAUUUUGAAAAAUAAAUAAAUGAGUAGGUGGGUUGAUAAGAAAAUAUCACAACUUAUUUUUCUUGUCUCUCAUGUUCUUACUCUUUUCUACCUUCUUUUUAGUUUUUUAUUCUAUUUUAUUUAUUUAUAUGUAAACCCUGGUGCUACUAAAUUGUGUGAGUUCAUUUCCACUGGAUCUAAGAGUAGAGCUGUGUCUGCAACACAGUACUCUCUCUUGCUCUCUACACUCUACUCAGUUCACACUCAAAUCACCGCAUGUACCACAUGUUUGCAAUAUACCUGCAGUUGAGUUGAAGUCCUACAUAUGCGGCCACACUCUUGUGUAGUCUACUAUUACAACAAUCCCCAUUGACAGGCAUUGUAACUUAGUCCUGUCUGUCAUACAGUAUGCCUCAAACAUAUGUAGUGACUAACUGUAUGUCCUGAGCAUACUGUUUGAGGCAUACAGUUUUGUGGGAGGAAGAAAAUAAAAUUUUCAAAAAAGAAACAUACAGCAGUUUGAAAUAAUUCCCAGUACAGCUUUUUCUUCUUCUUCUUCAUCUUCUUCUGUGGAAGUUGUGGAUUUUUAAGUUUUUGCUUGUGUGUUUGUGAGUGAGUGAGUGUGAAAAGACAGCUCAAUCAGGUCCUUUUGUUUGACUUGGGACAUCACAUAUCUGCUCUAAAAGAGAGCUAUCAUAUGUGAGGUUGAAUCAUCUCUUUUUUUUUUUUCAUUUUUUUUUUUAUUUUACUUAUCAGAGCAUCAUGCAGUCAAACCUGUAUUGACUCUGAGCCCUGCAGGCCCUGUCUGGUCCCCCCCCCCCACAAUGGAUUUCAUAUUUUAAAUACAGAUGAUUGUUUAUGAAAAAAAAACAAAAAAACAAAAAAACAAAAAAACAAAAAAACAAAAAAACAAAAAAACAAAAAAACAAAAAACAAAAAAAAACAAAAACAAAAACAAUAAUUGUAUGGCUUCUCUUGCUCAACAAACAUCAUGUAACCACUCCCAGGUCAUUUUGGUCUAAUAUGAUUGUGAAUUUUAUUAUGAUUAUUAUUAUUUACUUAUUAUUAUUGUUAGAAUUACUUUGACUCUACUCCACCCUAUGCACAUGAUGUCCUCUAAUGUGGAUGUAGAAGGAAGAGAGUCAAUUUGUGUAAGAGGUAAUGAUAGGGCUAGUUAUUGACCUGGCCCUGGUUUUGCAGGAUGGAGUCUCAGUAGGGCUCUGUUGGGCACCAUGUGCAAUUUAAGACACCAAAAACAAAUUCAUGCUAUCUAUGGAUUUUUCAUGUUUGGUUCUUGUCCAAACUCUCACAUGUAAUGUCUGUUUUUUUCUAGAAGAUUGAGGUAUUGUCAUCAAUCAUGCGCAAAAAACUGAAUUUGUACAAUACUCUUCAAUUUGGAUACUAUUUUUGAAUGAUUUUAUCUUGGUAUGAAUUGAAGGAUAGUAUAAAAAACAGAAAAAAUUAAGAGUAAUUGUUUGAAAUUGUGUCAAGUUUGUUGAGGAAACACCCUUAUACAAAAAUACAAAAAUACACAAGUAUUCAGGUUUCAUUCAUCUUAAGUAUCACACCCUUCUUAUGUAAAUAAAUAAAUUUUCUUGUUAGGGAUUUAAAUUUGAAUACAUAUAUUUAAUUUUUCUUUCAAUUUAAUAAAAUUCAAUUAAAUCACACCUCUUCAAGAACCCAAACCAGUUCACUAAACCUUCUACAUCUCAAAAACAUUCAUAAAUGGAUCCAUUUAAAGUGUCUGCUUGAAACAUUAUACACAUAUUUACACGUUUAUAUGCACACAAGCUACAUUCAGUAAUGCAAAUCAUCCU
This 2345-nucleotide long non-coding RNA is filed under the name Physcomitrium patens. RNAcentral describes it as "long non-coding RNA (PPAT_LNC005706)". The record is from RNAcentral. Lineage: Eukaryota; Viridiplantae; Streptophyta; Bryopsida; Funariales; Funariaceae.